Long non-coding RNA from Salvelinus namaycush (lake trout), 1474 nucleotides. RefSeq lists it as uncharacterized. The transcript is spliced from 4 exons. The record is from RefSeq and is a predicted model, not a curated record. NCBI's taxonomy places the organism in Eukaryota, Metazoa, Chordata, Actinopteri, Salmoniformes, Salmonidae.
AGAUCCCGUAGAAGACGGUGCUGUGUACAUCCGGGCCCUCCAGUACGAAGACGCUACGCAGCACAUUGAGGUGGAGCUCGUAGUCAGGAACGGAGCACACCAGCCUGGCCUUCAGGAAGGACGUCCACUUCCUCUGCAAGGUCCUCUGGCCCCCCCAGUCACCCUGGAGGGAGGAGAGCGAGAUAGCCAUGGGCACAUUCCAACACUGACAUCACAGAGGCAGUAGAAAUUGACCAGGGAUGUUAACUUGAUAAGUGUGUGACCAUUUUCCUGUCCUGAACUACAAAUGCCUGUCUCAAGCUUCACGUCACUCACCAGGGCCAUGAUGAUCUGGACGAGACUGCCAAAUCGAAGCAAAGGAAGACAUUGAUCUGUUUGCUGUUACCCUCUGGACAGCAGAUUACUAGUAUAGCUACAAGGAAAGGUAAUGUAACCUUAUUUAGUCCUAUUUGCAUUGGUGAGUUUUAAAUGAAUUGGUAUUCACACAUUUGUUUUUCAGGUAGAAUUACUGUCAUGUUAUUGAUGCCAAAUUGCCAACAUUAUUCCAGAACCAAUGGGUGAGCCUGAGUCUUAUCACCUCCACUAGGAAAGCUGUUUCCACUUCCUGUAAUAUUUCAGUCAUUGCAGGAAGUCCAGAGGAGCAGGAGUGUGUGAAGGGUUUCGUCCCAGCCCAACUCUAAUACCUGAUAAUCAACAUAACAAAUCACAGCGAUAGGCUAUGAUUUGUAAUCAGGUAUGCUUUGUAAUCAGGGGUGGAUUCAUAUACUGUAGAUGUUAUUGAUAUAUAACGCACGCUCCACUCUCAAGUUGAACUUGUUGACUGAUGCCAAGGCGAUGGUUGGCGAAGAUAAAGGGAGCGGCUGCAGACCAGAAGACUGCAGCCAAGGCAUCACUGGUCCACACCUGCCCUGUCCUAUCUAUUUGUAAAUUAAUGUACUGGCCUUUGUGGUAGUAAUUUGUGUAGUAAUUUGUUGCAUCGUAUUGCUCAGUUUAUCAUUUGUGUCAACUUUGAAUUCAAUCUUAGCCACAGAUUGUUAACUUAAUUCAUUUUGUACUUGACCUUUAUAGACGCAGACCCGAAGACAUUCAAGCAGCACUUUGAGAGCAUGUAUCCAAAGUCUUCAAUGGUCCCAGUACUGGUUGAUGUGCAGGCCUAAGUGACCACACACACUCAAAUGGAACUCCAGCUAGGGUAAGAUUCUUUCAUCAUUCACACACAGUAGACAUAGUCCAUGCUUUUGUCACUUCUAGGUUAGACUACUGCAAUGCUCUACUUUCCGGUUACCUGGAUAAAGCACUAAAUAAACUUCAGUUAGUGCUUAACACAGCUGCUAGAAUCUUGACUAGAACCAAAAAGAAAUAGCAUGUUACUCAAGUGCUAGCCUCUCUAAACUGGCUUCCUGUUAAAACCUCUUCGGGCUAGGGGACAGUAUUUUCACGUCCGGAUGAAAAGUGUGCCCAAAGUAAACUGCCU